CCUACGGGUGGCAGCAGUGAGGAAUAUUGGUCAAUGGACGCAAGUCUGAACCAGCCAUGCCGCGUGCAGGAAGACGGCUCUAUGAGUUGUAAACUGCUUUUGUACGAGGGUAAACGCAGAUACGCGUAUCUGUCUGCAAGUAUCGUACGAAUCCGGAUCGGCUAACUCCGUUCCAGCAGCCGCGGUAAUACGGAGGGUUCAAGCGUUAUCCGGAUUUAUUGGGUUUAAAGGGUGCGUAGGCGGUCGGAUAAGUUAGAUGUGAAAUCCCGAGGCUCAACUUCGGAAUUGCCUUGGAUACUGUUCGGCUAGAGAGUAGUUGAGGUAGGCGGAAUGUAUGGUGUAGCGGUGAAAUGCUUAGAGAUCAUACAGAACACCGAUUGCGAAGGCAGCUUACCAAGCUACUUCUGACGUUGAGGCACGAAAGCGUGGGGAGCAAACAGGAUUAGAUACCCGGGUAGUC
This 460-nucleotide ribosomal RNA is filed under the name uncultured bacterium. Its description in RNAcentral is "partial 16S ribosomal RNA". It matches the Rfam family "Bacterial small subunit ribosomal RNA", at positions 338 to 795 of the family's 1533-position model. The record is from RNAcentral.